RNAcentral lists this ribosomal RNA (440 nucleotides) under uncultured bacterium. RNAcentral describes it as "partial 16S ribosomal RNA". It matches the Rfam family "Bacterial small subunit ribosomal RNA", at positions 339 to 795 of the family's 1533-position model. The record is from RNAcentral.
CUACGGGGGGCAGCAGUGAGGAAUAUUGCACAAUGGGGGGAACCCUGAUGCAGCAACGCCGCGUGGAGGAUGACGCAUUUCGGUGUGUAAACUCCUUUUAUAUGUCAAGAAAAUGACGGUAGCAUAUGAAUAAGCACCGGCUAACUCCGUGGCCAGCAGCCGCGGUAAUACGGAGGGUGCAAGCGUUACUCGGAAUCACUGGGCGUAAAGGACGCGUAGGCGGGUUGGAAAGUCAGGUGUGAAAUCCUACAGCUUAACUGUAGAACUGCACUUGAAACUUCUAAUCUAGAGUAUGGGAGGGGGAGAUGGAAUUAGUGGUGGAGGGGUAAAAUCCGUAGAUAUCACUAGGAAUACCUAAAGCGAAGGCGAUCUCCUGGAACAUUACUGACGCUAAGGCGUGAAAGCGUGGGGAGCAAACAGGAUUAGAUACCCGCGUAGUC